Molecule: ribosomal RNA, 253 nt
Filed under: uncultured bacterium
Lineage: Bacteria
Description: partial 16S ribosomal RNA
Rfam family: Bacterial small subunit ribosomal RNA
Source: RNAcentral
UACAGAGGUGGCAAGCGUUGUUCGGAAUUACUGGGCGUAAAGGGCUCGUAGGCGGCCAACUAAGUCAGACGUGAAAUCCCUCAGCUUAACUGGGGAACUGCGUCUGAUACUGGAUGGCUUGGAUUCGGGAGAGGAAUGCGGAAUUCCAGGUGUAGCGGUGAAAUGCGUAGAUAUCUGGAGGAACACCGGUGGCGAAGGCGGCAUUCUGGACCGACAUUGACGCUGAGGAGCGAAAGCCAGGGGAGCAAACGGG